CUACAAAAGAGGGCAAAGGAGGCACGGCGUGGGAAAGGUACUGGCGCCGCCGCCGCAACAGCUGCAGCAGAAGCCCGAACACUUCCAUACAUGCCUCCCCCAAAAAACUUGUGUAACUACUUGUACCUGCCAACUUCCAACGGCGAAAAAACAAACAAAGCAGGGAGGUAGCUGGCGGUAUCGCCCGCGCGAGGACACUGCAGAGCAUAUGGUUUGUGCGCAGCAGCAGCAGCCACCGACGGAAAAAGCGGAAGCAAGAAAAGAUAUCUACAUUUUCCAUAGAUGCCGUAGCCUUGUAGUGCCAGUGCAUCGCAUACAAGGGACACGCGCACCGACUCAUAGAGCAAACACAUUCUUGCCAUCUUCAUCACCUCUGCGCAUAUCAGCGCCUACCGCGAAAGGUGACGCUUUACUCACAGUUUUUCUCUCCCAUGCAUCGCGUAUCAGCUCAUCGGCUAAUCCUCUGCAUAGCAAGCAAUUGACAGCGGAAACGAAAAGUAAAGUCGAGCAGCUGCAUCUCCGUUUGCUAUGCUGUUGCGCAGCCUUCCGCUUUACGCGGUCAGGGUCGUUUCGGCCUCGCUCAUCGAGUCGAUGCCAUCUCCUGGAAUGGGCUGUCCCACCACGGGCAGUCAUGCGACUCUCACCUUUCACCUCCACCGCCUCCACAACAGCGAGAGCUUCGGCGUUGACUGCGACUUCCAGUCGGUUGGUGGCUGUGAUGAGCAGUGCUUCGUUCGUGGCAUGAGCGCCGAUCUCGUGGCGUCGUCGGCUGCUCUAAAGAGCGUGCUCGGCGACGGGAAGGCGGCACGCACGAGCUCUGUUCGGGUGACGAGCAUCAACGGCAUCGCUAGGUUGACGAAGGCGGCGGUGCGGGAGCUGUUCGACAGCGGCCGUGACGUGGUCGUGCAGUGCGCCGUGUCUGCCGUUGCCGGCAGCCCGUCUGAUCCUAGGCAGUUUGACACUGGUUUGGAAAGAGAAGAGGAUGGAGCCGAGGCAACGCGCACACCCAAGAAACGUGGGCGAAAGCCAAAGGCGCCAGUGACGGGUGCUCUCGGUUCUGACGACACCGAGAUAGUCGGGACGUCAUCCAAGAAUGCCGUGAAGAGGCCAGGGCGGCGCGCUCGUGGUCUAUCGCUGAAGAAACCCAAAGUGAGCAAAAAGCGGCUACGCUACUCCGGUGCUCGCUCGGCAGUGAGGCAGAUGACCAGCAAAGAGACGGACCUGCCUGCUGACGAUAUUGACGCAGCCGCACUGGAGACGUUGCACAAGGUUGCGCCGGUAAAGCCUGUGCGGACACGCGGUCGGCGAUCAACGAAACGCGAAGCACUGCUUGACGCGAAAUGGCGGAGCACGGCAGCCGGGGAGACCUCAGACGAUGUUUGGUUUGCGUAUGCGGAGGCAACGCCAGCGGAGGGCGGAGAGGAUGACGAGGCUCGCCCCGAGGAUGCUGCGGUGCCGACUCGGAGACGGCGAGGACGUCCAGCCAAAAUGGCCGCCGCCGACGCGCCCACGGAGGCUGAGACAGUGGCGGCAGCGAAGCGCGGGCGGCGUCGGCCGGCUAGCCGCACCUUUGAACCAGAGAAGCAGAAGAAAACCUCCGGGCGGCGUGGACGACCCCGCAAGAUGGACAAGGCCGUAGAAAUCCUGGGCACAACACAGGCGGCGGAGGUCAGCUCAAAGGAGAAACCCGCAGAACAAUCCGAGGCUGCAGAUGCUGAGCUGGAGUUUUGAUAUACAGAGUGAGAUCGUCGCUGAAUGGCAUGCCCUCGUCAUCUGCGCGUUGGCAUCUCUUUCUCUUUGUGUGUUGGAAAAGGGCAUCCAUGCCGCGGCGGGAUCAUCAUCUUCACAGACGUGUGCAGGGCUCAGCGCGACACACAUGCGGGCGUCGCAAGCGAAUAAGCUCUUUUUUGUUUGUUUGUCCUGCGUGCGAGUGGCAGGGGCGGGGCGUCUCGUAUCGGCACCACCAUUCGUCAGUUGCUCUUCUACGCGAAAAGCUGUUCACGAAGGCGCGUGCGCUCCUCCUCGGACCUCGGCCUGCACCGCAUGCGCAGGGACGCAACUGCAUCGAUCAGCUCUUUGUUUUCUUCGUAUUGCUUCACCGUGUCGCUUCACUUCUUCGGGGAUCAUCUUUCUAGUCAACAAUAUUGUUCGAGUGUUUUGUAUUGCCUGUCGCGCCCGCGUUGCGCGGAGAAGCUUUUCUGCACC
RNAcentral lists this unclassified non-coding RNA (2205 nucleotides) under Leishmania donovani. RNAcentral's name for it is "gene:LdHU3.31.1670(CDS-product:hypothetical_prote in_conserved)". The record is from RNAcentral. Lineage: Eukaryota; Euglenozoa; Kinetoplastea; Trypanosomatida; Trypanosomatidae.